This 451-nucleotide ribosomal RNA is filed under the name uncultured bacterium. RNAcentral describes it as "bacterial SSU rRNA". It matches the Rfam family "Bacterial small subunit ribosomal RNA", at positions 29 to 524 of the family's 1533-position model. The record is from RNAcentral.
AACGAACGCUGGCGGCAUGCCUAACACAUGCAAGUCGAGCGAGACCUUCGGGUCUAGUGGCGCACGGGUGCGUAACGCGUGGGAAUCUGCCCUUGGGUUCGGAAUAACAGCGAGAAAUUGCUGCUAAUACCGGAUGAUGACGUAAGUCCAAAGAUUUAUCGCCCAAGGAUGAGCCCGCGUAGGAUUAGCUAGUUGGUGAGGUAAAGGCUCACCAAGGCGACGAUCCUUAGCUGGUCUGAGAGGAUGAUCAGCCACACUGGGACUGAGACACGGCCCAGACUCCUACGGGAGGCAGCAGUGGGGGAAUAUUGGACAAUGGGCGAAAGCCUGAUCCAGCAAUGCCGCGUGAGUGAUGAAGGCCUUAGGGUUGUAAAGCUCUUUUACCCGGGAUGAUAAUGACAGUACCGGGAGAAUAAGCCCCGGCUAACUCCGUGCCAGCAGCCGCGGUAAU